AAAAUCCGUCGACUUUAAAAUCGUGAGGGUUCAGUCU
This 37-nucleotide transfer RNA is filed under the name Rhinanthus minor. RNAcentral describes it as "partial tRNA-Leu". The record is from RNAcentral. Lineage: Eukaryota; Viridiplantae; Streptophyta; Magnoliopsida; Lamiales; Orobanchaceae.